MicroRNA precursor from Lepisosteus oculatus (spotted gar), 83 nucleotides. Ensembl annotates it as microRNA 15a. Its record names the gene mir15a-1. NCBI's taxonomy places the organism in Eukaryota, Metazoa, Chordata, Actinopteri, Semionotiformes, Lepisosteidae. The record is from Ensembl.
CCUUGCUGUGUUGUAGCAGCACAUAAUGGUUUGUUGGUUGUACGGAGAUGCAAGCCAUACUGUGCUGCUGCAAAAACACAAGG